AUGAUAAUUAAAUCAAGAAUAGUGGCACUUGGUGUUGUGUACUAUUUUCCAGAUACAUUUAACAUUAGUGUGUACAAUAUUGCCUGUGUGUAUGGUCUGUUUGCUGGGAGAGAGAGGGAAGUAUACUACAGUAAUGGUUUGUAUGGUCUGUUUGCUGGGUUAGAGAGGGAAGUAUACUACAGUAAUAGUUUGUAUGGUCUGUUUGCUGGGAGAGAGAGGGAAGUAUACUACAGUAAUGGUUUGUAUGGUCUGUUUGCUGGGUUAGAGAGGGAAGUAUACUACAGUAAUGGUUUGUAUGGUCUGUUUGCUGGGAGAGAGAGGGAAGUAUACUACAGUAAUGGUUUGUAUGGUCUGUUUGCUGGGUUAGAGAGGGAAGUAUACUACAGUAAUGGUUUGUAUGGUCUGUUUGCUGGGAGAGAGAGGGAAGUAUACUACAGUAAUGGUUUGUAUGGUCUGUUUGCUGGGUUAGAGAGGGAAGUAUACUACAGUAAUGGUUUGUAUGGUCUGUUUGCUGGGAGAGAGAGGGAAGUAUACUACAGUAAUGGUUUGUAUGGUCUGUUUGCUGGGAGAGAGAGGGAAGUAUACUACAGUAAUGGUUUGUAUGGUCUGUUUGCUGGGAGAGAGAGGGAAGUAUACUACAGUAAUGGUUUGUAUGGUCUGUUUGCUGGGAGAGAGAGGGAAGUAUACUACAGUAAUGGUUUGUAUGGUCUGUUUGCUGGGAGAGAGAGGGAAGUAUACUACAGUAAUGGUUUGUAUGGUCUGUUUGCUGGGUUAGAGAGGGAAGUACACUACAGUAAUGGUUUGUAUGGUCUGUUUGCUGGGUUAGAGAGGGAAGUAUACUACAGUAAUGGUUUGUAUGGUCUGUUUGCUGGGAGAGAGAGGGAAGUAUACUACAGUAAUGGUUUGUAUGGUCUGUUUGCUGGGAGAGAGAGGGAAGUAUACUACAGUAAUGGUUUGUAUGGUCUGUUUGCUGGGUUAGAGAGGGAAGUAUACUACAGUAAUGGUUUGUAUGGUCUGUUUGCUGGGUUAGAGAGGGAAGUAUACUACAGUAAUGGUUUGUCUGUUCUGUUUGCUGGGUUAGAGAGGGAAGUAUACUACAGUAAUGGUUUGUAUGGUCUGUUUGCUGGGAGAGAGAGGGAAGUAUACUACAGUAAUGGUUUGUAUGGUCUGUUUGCUGGGAGAGAGAGGGAAGUAUACUACAGUAAUGGUUUGUAUGGUCUGUUUGCUGGGAGAGAGAGGGAAGUAUACUACAGUAAUGGUUUGUAUGGUCUGUUUGCUGGGAGAGAGAGGGAAGUAUACUACAGUAAUGGUUUGUAUGGUCUGUUUGCUGGGAGAGAGAGGGAAGUAUACUACAGUAAUGGUUUGUAUGGUCUGUUCUGUUUGCUGGGUUAG
Molecule: long non-coding RNA, 1392 nt
Organism: Oncorhynchus mykiss (rainbow trout)
Lineage: Eukaryota; Metazoa; Chordata; Actinopteri; Salmoniformes; Salmonidae
Source: Ensembl